CAUCACUUUCAGCUUCCUCAGCAAGGCACUUGAUCAUCUUGGAGAUCCCCAAUCCUGACAAUCAUGAUCCUGACAUCACCACCACCAUGCUUGCUUGCAGGCAGGACACACUUGUUUUCUUGGAAUUCAUAUGUCUCCCUUUUGUGGACAGCAGCUCUCCCGUUCUGGCAGCACUCAUGCACCAUGCUUGACUGAAUGAAAAGCGGCAAAAUGCUCCAAAGGUCCGUCUUGGAGUGACAACAUAAUUUAGUCCCUGCUCCUGUUCCAGUAUAAAGGCUGUUGUUAUGAUGUAUCCUUGCAAAGUGGAUGUAAACAGGAAGUUGCUCCCUAUUGGUCUCGUCUCCUGAUGGCAAAUGUCAAUCAUAAACACUGCCCUUCAAUAUCGGCAAUAAACUAUUGCCACAAUUUGACAAUCAUGACGAAAUAAGCAAGUCGCAAUGCUCUUCAUCGGAAUAACGUGUGUUCAGAGUAAUGGCAGUAUAUAAUACCGGCGUUACUAAGGUCGUCAC
Non-coding RNA from Nerophis lumbriciformis (worm pipefish), 509 nucleotides. The record is from RefSeq and is a predicted model, not a curated record. Lineage: Eukaryota; Metazoa; Chordata; Actinopteri; Syngnathiformes; Syngnathidae.